UACGUAGGGUGCAAGCGUUGUUCGGAUUCACUGGGCGUAAAGGGUGCGUAGGCGGUCGGGUAAGUUUGAUGUGAAAUCUCCGAGCUUAACUCGGAAAUGGCAUUGAAUACUAUUCGGCUAGAGAGUCGGAGGGGGGACUGGAAUACUUGGUGUAGCAGUGAAAUGCGUAGAUAUCAAGUGGAACACCAGUGGCGAAGGCGAGUCCCUGGACGAUUUCUGACGCUGAGGCACGAAAGCUAGGGGAGCAAACAGG
RNAcentral lists this ribosomal RNA (253 nucleotides) under uncultured bacterium. RNAcentral describes it as "partial 16S ribosomal RNA". It matches the Rfam family "Bacterial small subunit ribosomal RNA", at positions 524 to 776 of the family's 1533-position model. The record is from RNAcentral.